Molecule: long non-coding RNA, 980 nt
Filed under: Homo sapiens (human)
Lineage: Eukaryota; Metazoa; Chordata; Mammalia; Primates; Hominidae
Description: HSALNT0363174
Source: RNAcentral
CUCGGAGGAACCCAGCCCUCUGCCCAGCAGACAGAACAGCAGCUGCUCUGGGGAGGAAAACAGAUCAGGCCCGUGCCAAGGCAAACUGCCCAAAGCGGGGUGGGGGGGGGAGCUUCCUGUCCCUGCCAGUGGGCACGGGGGGUGACAGACAAGGCCAGACAGCCAGGGUUGGGGACCUUGGGCUGGGAACCCAGCAGAUGUGUCUCCCCAACAUCCGGGCCCCCCAUCUCACCAGAGCACCGGUGGGUGCAGCUGUCCCAGCUUAUCAUACCCCCCUCCCCUCCCCCAAACACCUGUCACAGCUCCCCGGGAGUGAGGAGGAAGUGAAGGCUGAGGGGUCACUGGGAAGGACCCAGGCCUGGCAAAGAGGAAACAAAGAGCCCAUGCUUUGGUGAGGGAGGGGAUGCCCACCACCCUGCCACACCCUCCCCAGGAAGCCCCUAUCCUGUUUGUAGUCAGCUGCAUUCCAGGGCUGGGCUAGGGUAGGCAGGCAGCACCGGGCAAACCCACUCCUCCACCCUGCCCCCCGGGGCCUGAGUCACCGUCUGAACAACCAGGGAGUCAUGGGGGUGGAGAAGCAGAGCCCAGAAAGCGGGCUAGCCUGCACGCACGCCAAGAUGGAGCUCCAGGCUAGCCCACAGAACAGCCCAGCCGCAGCCGUCCUACCAGACCAGCACCUUGUAACCACAGUCUAACCCAGCGGGCACCAGGCGAUUGUGAGUGCCACGGGGCUGAGGCCUGCGCCGACCUGGUCUGCUGGUGCUACCAGGCUUGAACAGUCUUCAAAUCCACUGCUAUUAGGCAAAUUACCUGGCUCCCGCUGAACUCCAGCACCUAGAACUAUGUCACACUCGUAGUAGGCCGCUGCAUUGGUUGAACAAAUGAUUUUGAAAGAAUGAAUGUCUUCCUCUGUGCCUGCAUUUCCUCAGAAGGCUGUAACAAAGAUUAAAUAGGAAAAUUCGUGGAAAGUUCAAUUACUA